CCCCCUCCUCUCUCUGGAUGAGCUGUUAGGGCACCCUUUGCCUCUUCCCAGGAAUCUUGCUGGCCAGCUAAUUGCUCAGCUAGGGAGGCAUCUGCAGUCAGUGACAUCUAGGACAAUGAGGACUAGUCAUCCUGAAGAGGUGAUAACGCACAAUGUAGCAUUACAGUGUAAGGACUGGAGGGAGGACUAGGCCUCGCUUAGAGCCAAAUCAAAGGGACCAGCUCAGAGGACUGGGCGGGAUUCCUGGCUCCACCCCCAGCAGAAGCUCUGGUCUCCUGGUGAGUCUGUCCCAGGAGGAGGAGGAGGAGGACCCCAAGGAAGAAGCAGGCCGAGAGCUGCUGGGGAGAUGGGAAGGCCGCAGGCUGUGAGGAAGAAGGACCAGGACAUCCGUGCAAGGCCUCCGGAGGGAAGUCGUUCUUCUGUACGGAUCGCUGGGGAUCUACAUUGCCAGGUCUGAGGACUGCAAAGCAGAAGAAGGAAGGAAAGAAAGAAAGAAAGAAAGAAAGAAAGAAAGAAAGAAAGAAAGAAAGAAAGAAAGAAAGAAAGAAAGAAAGAAAGAAAGAAAGAAAGGGCGGAGGCCAGGAACCAUUGAGUAGAGGGCCUUCCUCCACCCAGCCCAGGACAUUCCCCAACACUUGCUGGGUUGCCAUGAUGCUCUGCUCUAGAUGAGCUUCCGUGGGCUGGAUCACCAGCCCUCCUCACACGAUGAAAUCUAAGAUUUCUUCCUCCAGCGAAAUGAAGCCAUCUCUGCCAAUUAAUCUAAUAGUAGCAGUCCUGCACCUGGCCGUGUCCAGAGUCAACCAGCUGGACCCAGGGACGCAGGGAUAUUCUUAUUGAGCUUUUUCCAUCCUGCGCCACAAACUCCUGCUGCUUCCACUCCCGGGCUACUUGUCCCAUUUGAGACCACUUCAGAAUCUUUUCUAUGUAAGGAUGCCACAGUUUUGCUUUGUCAUAAUAUGUUCUAUGACGAAGGGAGAAUUCAGUGUCAACUGAAAAUCUCCCGGUUGGCCCCAACUGGAAACAGAAGCGAAGCCCUGUAGUGGUAACCAGUUCAGAAGACGUCGUUCCAUAAUUCCAUCAUUGGUUUCAUUCAGAAAGAAAGACUGGCAUGAUGCUUUCUUCUCAAGUCAAGUCCCAUGGUUGUCUUUUUCUAGAGUUACAUGGAAAGCUGAAGAGUUUGGAUAUUAUUCUGCAGGAAAUGUAACUAAACUGGUUCAACGUGUUUGAACUGGUUACCAAAAGACUUUGGAAAGUCAGUAUUUGACCCCACACUGAAUGGGAGAGUUCCAAAAGAAUCACGAAUUUGAACUGGAAUUGACCCUCAGUUGGAAUUGGUUUGACUCCCUGCACAGAACAAGAACAUUGAGGUGCUCCAGAAGAUUAUCAGGGCUUUGCUGGAGGAGGCCCCCUCUGUCUGGAGUUUAAUCAGCAUCUUGAAGG
Molecule: long non-coding RNA, 1440 nt
Organism: Hemicordylus capensis (graceful crag lizard)
Lineage: Eukaryota; Metazoa; Chordata; Lepidosauria; Squamata; Cordylidae
Exons: 3
Source: RefSeq, a predicted model, not a curated record